UACGUAGGUGGCGAGCGUUGUCCGGAAUUACUGGGUGUAAAGGGAGCGCAGACGGAACUGCAAGUCUGAUGUGAAAGCCCGGGGCUCAACCGCGGGACUGCAUCGGAUACUGUGGAUCUGGAGUGCCGGAGGGGCAAGCGGAAUUCCUGGUGUAGCGGUGAAAUGCGUAGAUAUCAGGAGGAACACCGGCGGCGAAGGCGGCUUGCUGGACGGCAACUGACGUUGAGGCUCGAAAGCGUGGGGAGCAAACAGGAUUAGAUA
RNAcentral lists this ribosomal RNA (261 nucleotides) under uncultured prokaryote. RNAcentral's name for it is "partial 16S ribosomal RNA". It matches the Rfam family "Bacterial small subunit ribosomal RNA", at positions 524 to 784 of the family's 1533-position model. The record is from RNAcentral.